GCCCACCUAGCUCAGCGGUAGAGCGUUGGACCUUUAAUCCAAUGGUCGUGGGUUCGAUCCCCACGGUGGGUG
Diplonema papillatum is the source of this 72-nucleotide non-coding RNA. The record is from the annotation of a GenBank genome assembly. NCBI's taxonomy places the organism in Eukaryota, Euglenozoa, Diplonemea, Diplonemida, Diplonemidae.